This 266-nucleotide long non-coding RNA is filed under the name Coffea arabica (coffee). RNAcentral describes it as "long non-coding RNA (CARA_LNC003047)". Lineage: Eukaryota; Viridiplantae; Streptophyta; Magnoliopsida; Gentianales; Rubiaceae. The record is from RNAcentral.
CUCCGGCGACUCCGUCUCCGUAUAUAAUUGCCUGAGUUGGCGUCUGACCGUGGAAACCAACAACAAGCGCAACUGGAAUGGUGUCCCAGAAAUAUGCGGGAACUACGUUGAAAACUACAUGACUGGCAAGCAAUACGGUUAUGACUGUGAAGCCGUGGUUGAUAUUGCCAUCAAGUAUGUUAAGAGUCUCCCCAUACCCAGAGAUGGCAGGAGCAUUUGGAUCUUCGACAUCGAUGACACUGCACUUUCUAACUUGCCCUUCUUCU